AACUCUGAUAAUAGACCGGGAUUAGAUACCCCGUUAUAUAGAGCCAAAAUCUAGAGCUUUAGCACUAAGACUUUAUAGUUAAAACUAAAAUGACAUGGCGGCAGUUUAAAAUUUCAGGGGAACUUACCAGAUAAAUGAUAACCCGCAAGAUACCCCACUUUUGCUAAAAGUUUGUAUAUCGUCGUCGUCAGAGCUUGUUUAAGACAAGUUUUAAAUGUAUUCCACAAAAAGACAGAUCAAGACGCAGCCUAUGCAAAAGUCAGUAAGGUGAGUUACAAUAAUGUAGAAUUAUGGAUUUAGUUUUAAACAAACGAUUUGAUACCCCGUUAUAUAGAGCCAAAAUCUAGAGCUUUAGCACUAAGACUUUAUAGUUAAAACUAAAAUGACAUGGCGGCAGUUUAAAAUUUCAGGGGAACUUACCAGAUAAAUGAUAACCCGCAAGAUACCCCACUUUUGCUAAAAGUUUGUAUAUCGUCGUCGUCAGAGCUUGUUUAAGACAAGUUUUAAAUGUAUUCCACAAAAAGACAGAUCAAGACGCAGCCUAUGCAAAAGUCAGUAAGGUGAGUUACAAUAAUGUAGAAUUUUGGAUUUAGUUUUAAACCAACUAAGGAAACCGGACUUGAAAGUAAAUAAUAAAAUAAUUAUUUAUUGAAUUUUCAUAAAACUGUGCACAAAUCGCCCGUCACUCUCGUCGAAAGAUGAGAUAAGUCGUAACACAGUAAGUGUACCGGAAGGUGUACUUG
Molecule: ribosomal RNA, 743 nt
Filed under: Sakuraeolis japonica
Lineage: Eukaryota; Metazoa; Mollusca; Gastropoda; Nudibranchia; Glaucidae
Description: 12S ribosomal RNA
Source: RNAcentral